This is a long non-coding RNA of Passer domesticus (house sparrow), 1878 nucleotides long. RefSeq lists it as uncharacterized. The transcript is spliced from 3 exons. NCBI's taxonomy places the organism in Eukaryota, Metazoa, Chordata, Aves, Passeriformes, Passeridae. The record is from RefSeq and is a predicted model, not a curated record.
CAAAGCUGCCCAAAAUGUAGAGUUGCCUGGUGGGAUCUCAGUUUGUGUGGGCCUUGGGUACUUUCAGCCCUCCAGGCUGGCUCACCUCAGGUGUAGCUCCAGACAAAAAUCCAAUUCAACCUUCUCGAAAGCAGCACUAGUUGUGUGUUCCUGCUCAGAGGGAAAUCUCAUUCUCAGACUCUUUGCAGAAUUUAAGGAGCCUGGUGCUUUAUGAGGGAAUGGUAAAAGCCAGGCCUUGCCCUUUGUGGGCAGUAACAGGGAUGCAUUUCCAGGGGAAGGCAUUUCCAGGGGGAGGCUCAUGUGGAGAUCAGGUUUGCAGAGGUACAAAUAGCUGAGAUUUUUGCCAAUGAGUCAUCCUGUGAGGAGAAACAGAGAAGUGGAAACAGGGCCCAAAAGGUGCCACUUUCUGCACAGCAUGAGCCAGGCUUGGAGGAUGUGGCAAAGCUGGAAGGGCCGGCAGGUUUUCUGUGAUAACACUGUGGGCACAGCAACCCUUUUGGAGAAACAGAAAGCAGGGCCUGUCCUGGUUAUUACAAUGAGUUCUGCUCAGGGGUAUCCUAGAAAACCACUUGGAAGCACCAGAGGAGAGAAAUGAAGUGCGGUUGGCUGGAAGGAGCGCCCUAUGCCACAUCACAAGACUUGAUCUCUUAUUUUCCCACUGCUUUAAUCUAUUCUGUUCUCUGUGUAGGGCUUAAACAAAAGUUACCUAAGAAGAUCCUGUCUCUUUGUUUUUAUCCUGCAUAUCAUUUUGUAGGAGGCAGCAAUUCCUGAACACAGCUCACAGCUCAGCAGUGGUGCAGAUGGGCCUUCUGGGUGAACAAUAAAACCAGUGCAGAAAUAAUGAGACUCAAAAGCUGCUGUUAAAUUGCAGGUUGAAGUUAUGAAUAAAUUCCCUCCUUCAGCUGGAAAUAUAGAAAUAUAUAGUGUGUAUUAACUGUCCAGUUCACUAAGGGCAUGGUUUUCAUGAGAGUCAUUCUCAUUUAAGCACUAAUAAAUACCCAGGCCGUCCAAAGGAAUUUUAAGUGUGUUGAAGACAGACACUGGUUGCUGAGCUCUUCUAAAAAUCUGGUCCCACUAAAUCAAGAGCAGACAGUCUCUCUUAUUCAACUCCUUGUCUGGUGGUGGUUAAACAAAUGCUUUUGAGUCUGAGGAACAUUAAAAUUCUGCAGCUUCCAUAAAUGACUUUGAUUUCAAGAUGAACAACGAGAUGUUCCAAUCAAAACCAAAACCACUGCAGAAUGUAGCAUUUGAAGGAAGCUGUGCUAAUUUCUUCAGAAACAAAUGUAGAAGUCAGUAACAUGAAACAGCUGACCACGAGCCAGAUGCUGCAGAGUGAUAACAAGGAGUGCAGGAAGCCCCCAAUAGCUUUGGCUUUCCAGAGAACUCGAAGAUCCAUAUGUGUACCUUUAGGGCUAGAACUCCUUCACUACAUGCAGUGGAGCUCCAGACACAAAAAGAAGAGCAGACUGUGCUUGCAGACACCAGGGAGUGAGCACCUCCUCCCUGUGGGGAGUAGUACAUUUGUCCCUUUGAAUAUCAAGUUAGGAAUUCAGUUAUUUUGCACAAAAAGCAGCUACAGAGUACAGUUGAUAAUAACCAAAAUACUUUCAACUGCUUUGAUAUGUUUCAUGAAUUCCCCUUGCCGUUAUAUUUAGAAUAAGCUCACAAGCCCCUACUAAAAUUACGAAAUAACUACUCGAGGAAAUGUGCAUUAUUUUCAAUUCUGCAUUCCUGUUCAAGAAACUAUUCAGUGCCCCCAAAUAUGACCGUGCCCUCUAUUAAAUCCAUUGCAUCUUGACUCUAUUCUGACCCAUUGCACACUCUUUAAUCACAAUUCGACCAAAUUUGACACUGAAUAAUGGCGCAGACUCUGAAUCA